Molecule: transfer RNA, 72 nt
Filed under: Sitana ponticeriana (Pondichry fan throated lizard)
Lineage: Eukaryota; Metazoa; Chordata; Lepidosauria; Squamata; Agamidae
Description: tRNA-Gln
Source: RNAcentral
CUAGGGAGAAAGGAUUUGAACCUAUAUCUAAGAGUCCAAAACUCUUCAUAUGCCCAACCAUACUCCUCCCUA